This 447-nucleotide ribosomal RNA is filed under the name uncultured bacterium. RNAcentral's name for it is "bacterial SSU rRNA". It matches the Rfam family "Bacterial small subunit ribosomal RNA", at positions 340 to 786 of the family's 1533-position model. The record is from RNAcentral.
UACGGAAGGCAGCAGUAGGGAAUAUUGGGCAAUGGCCGAGAGGCUGACCCAGCCAUGCCGCGUGCCGGAUGAAGGCCUUCUGGGUUGUAAACGGCUUUUCUCAGGGAAGAAAAGGGGAUGCGUCCUCAACUGACGGUACCUGAGGAAUAAGCACCGGCUAACUCCGUGCCAGCAGCCGCGGUAAUACGGAGGGUGCAAGCGUUGUCCGGAUUUAUUGGGUUUAAAGGGUGCGUAGGCGGCCCGUUAAGUCCGGGGUGAAAGCCCACGGCUCAACCGUGGAACUGCCCUGGAUACUGGCGGGCUUGAGUCCAGACGAGGUUGGCGGAAUGGAAGGUGUAGCGGUGAAAUGCAUAGAUACCUUCCAGAACCCCGAUUGCGUAGGCAGCUGACUAGGCUGGUACUGACGCUGAGGCACGAAAGCGUGGGGAGCGACAGGGAUUAGAUACC